Molecule: long non-coding RNA, 2563 nt
Organism: Glycine soja
Lineage: Eukaryota; Viridiplantae; Streptophyta; Magnoliopsida; Fabales; Fabaceae
Exons: 5
Source: RefSeq, a predicted model, not a curated record
CUCUCUCUUCGACUCCCCCAAUCUUUCAUGCUUCUCUCUCUUCGACUCCCUCAUCUAGGGUUUGUUAUGCCGUUGCGGCCUGGUGAACGUGAACUCCCUCUUCAUGACCGCCGUCUUCGUGGGCUUCUCCCUCACCACCUCAGGCCAGCGCAACCUCGAGAAUCGCUCCUCCUGCAGCGCUGACAUAAUAGACUUUCAAUGAUAAUGCUCAGAGGAAGGCAGAGGAAGUAGGUAUGGUUUUUAAUGUGGGUAUCAUAUAAUAUAACUCGUUUUGGUUUGUAGUUGAUAGUGUGACCCGUGAUGCCGGUGGUGUACGAAAACCAAAGAGAGCAAGAGCAAGAGGUUGUGACUGCCACUCUCUAUGACGACAAAUAUCUUCAACACAACAAGUUUCUUUCCUCUUUUUAUUAUUAGUUUGAUUUGGGUUUGAAUAAAAUGCCCUAGUUAGACUCACUCAGCGUAUUGAUUUGAAUUGAAUGUUAUGGGUAGAUAAAAUGAGGUACAUGAAGCCCUUGCAAUUGUUUCAUGAUUUGAAGAAAACGUGUCUUUUACACUUAUUUUCCUCUACAACAUUGUAGAUACUGAUAAGCAGGCGAAAGAUUCUCAAGGCAACCAUAAGAAGGUUGGGAUUUCUUUAGGAGAUGUAGCAAUUGUUGCCAUAAAUUUAGCCAGACGGCCUGAGAAUUAUGGGAAACUUAUUGUGGUUUUGUUGAUGAUGUAGAAUAAUUAAGGGCCAACGAGAAAUAAACUUGGUAGGUCUAAAAUAAAGUCCUUGUGUGGUCCACCACCUCACUGAACCAUACCACGCGCAUCCACUUCUAAGGUUAAUUUCUUUCAUUCACACAGGCUUUUUAUGUAAUGAACAGAACCAAGCAACAACAUCGUUGGUAGGACAAAGUACAAUCAGCUGCCAAUGGGCCUUGCAUUAAACAAAAAUUAGGUGUCAUUGUGAGUGAUGAAGUAUGAAUUGAAAGCACAAAAGUAAAUAGGUUAGCACAUUUGAACGGAAAUCAUGGUAUGGUAAGCCAAACACUUCAUAAAUGUCCGGUGAGAUAUGUGGCCUUAUAACUGUGAGAGAACGAUUGUCCUUAAUUUCCUGAUUUUGCAUGAUUCUGAGAUUGUUUAAGUACAUACAUAAGGUGAAAAUGAUCAAGGCCUUGUUUGAUUUUCUUAGCCACUGAGCCAAAUAGCCAACCUGUUACUAAAAUGAAUACCUUGCACCCUGUUGAGCUUAAUGCAAUAAAUUGUUUUUGAAACCUGAGCCGAAUGAAAUUAAUGACCACUUUGUCUUAGGUUGUAGGAGAGCAUGGGUCAACACAAAUUUAUCCCUAAUUUGGGGGAGGAGGAUUUUUUGGUUUCGGGAACAUCAAUAAUAGCACACACUUAAAUGUAAAUAAGUUGCUGCAGUACCAGUUUAAGCCAGUUAUAAUUUCAAAAAAGAAAAGAAAAGAAAAAUUGAAAAAAAUAAAAAUUGUGUUUCAAAUAAAGAGCUUAUAGCAACUAAGUGCUAAUAAAUUUUGUGUGUUGUUAGGAAUAGAAGACAAGAAAGUUGGGGGCUAUGAAAUAUAAGUCAUGGGUUAUCAGGUAUGUGCUAUCUUAGAAUCUAACUUUGUUUCCAAAGAAAAACCAUGAGUUCUUUGUUAGCCCAGCCAUGUUACAAGCCUAAAAAGCCCUUAGUGAUCCACAAUAUGUAUGUAUGCUUUCCUUAACUAAGAAGAAGUACAAAAUUGGGAACAUUAGUUCAGUUGUUGACUUUAAAAACACUUAGCCGAGACACUUGUGCGCUGAGGGAAUCACUAACCUUGUGAGGAAUGAAGUGUUGUAAUUUUGCCUCGAUGAAGUUUUUAUUGGCUAACCUUUUUCAUCUCCAUGUGUAUUCCUUCACGCUUCCAUCACAAGAUCAAGACAAAUGCAAGCUCAGGAUCAUUCAGUGAAAAGUUUGAAAAGGUUUCGUAGUUAUCUCAUGUGUUGAUACUUUCAGACUUAUUUUUGCUUGAGGACAAACAAAUGUUUUAAUUUGGGGGAGUUGAUAACUGUGAAAUAUGAGCUAAUUUGAUAGCCAAUUUUGGCUAAUAAAUGGGUGCAAUUUCUUCACUAGCAGAAGUCAAGAGAAAAAGAAUUCAAGUGCUUUGAAGGAAAAUUGAUGCAAAAUUUGGAAGAAAAAUGGAAGAAGUAGACAGCUCGCUUAGCACCCCACCUAGGCUUAGUGCGUGCCUGCGCUUAGCACGCAGCUCAAGCUUAGCGCGAGAACUCGCGCUAAGUGUGAAGUCAACGUGAAAAUUAAGCUACCUGAAACCUAUAUAAGGAGGAGGAAGCAGAAGGGAAAGACACGCCGAGUCUUAGAGCUAUCCAAGCCUAGGCCUAUCCCUUAGGGAAAACCCUUUUUCUUAGUCAUUCCCCAUUUUCUUGCUAUUAGUCACCCAACCCCUUCUUCUAUUAGCCUCCGGAGUGUAAAGUCUCUCAUGGCUAUGAGAAGCUAAACCCCAUUUGUUGGAGCCUAGUAGCCAAUGCCCUUAUAAUGUAACUCUUCUUAUCUAUUAAUGCAAUUUCAAUUUCUAUUGUC